This 1612-nucleotide ribosomal RNA is filed under the name Verrucaria elaeomelaena. RNAcentral describes it as "eukaryotic LSU rRNA". It matches the Rfam family "Eukaryotic large subunit ribosomal RNA", at positions 1 to 1406 of the family's 3401-position model. Lineage: Eukaryota; Fungi; Ascomycota; Eurotiomycetes; Verrucariales; Verrucariaceae. The record is from RNAcentral.
UUGACCUCGGAUCAGGUAGGGAUACCCGCUGAACUUAAGCAUAUCAAUAAGCGGAGGAAAAGAAACCAACAGGGAUUGCCUCAGUAACGGCGAGUGAAGCGGCAACAGCUCAAAUUUGAAAUCUGACCCUUCUGGGGUCCGAGUUGUAAUUUGUAGAGGAUGCUUCGGGCAAGGCUGUGGUCUAAUUCGCUUGGAACAGCGGGUCAAAGAGGGUGAGAAUCCCGUCUAGGAUCGUAUGCCGCGUCCAUGUGAAGCUCCUUCGACGAGUCGAGUUGUUUGGGAAUGCAGCUCUAAAUGGGUGGUAAAUUUCAUCUAAAGCUAAAUAUUGGCCAGAGACCGAUAGCGCACAAGUAGAGUGAUCGAAAGAUGAAAAGCACUUUGAAAAGAGAGUUAAACAGUAUGUGAAAUUGUUGAAAGGGAAGCGCUUGCAAUCAGACUUGUGGCUGACGGUUCCCCUGGCCCUCGUGGCCGGGCUACUCCGUCGUGUCCAGGCCAACAUCGGUCUGGGUGGCCGGUUAAAGACCCCGGGAAUGUAUCUACCUUCGGGUCGACUUAUAGCCCGGGGUGGAAUGCGGCCCACCCGGACCGAGGAACGCGCUUCGGCUCGGAUGUUGGCGUAAUGGUUGCAAGCGGCCCGUCUUGAAACACGGACCAAGGAGUCUAACAUCUAUGCGAGUGUUUGGGUGUCAAACCCCUACGCGGAAUGAAAGUGAACGGAGGUAAGAACCCCGCAAGGGGCGCAUUAUCGACCGAUCCUGAUGUCUUCGGAUGGAUUUGAGUAAGAGCAUAGCUGUUGGGACCCGAAAGAUGGUGAACUAUGCCUGAAUAGGGUGAAGCCAGAGGAAACUCUGGUGGAGGCUCGCAGCGGUUCUGACGUGCAAAUCGAUCGUCAAAUUUGGGCAUAGGGGCGAAAGGACUAAUCGAACCAUCUGGUAGCUGGUUCCUGUCGAAGUUUCCCUCAGGAUAGCAGUAACGUUUUCAGUUUUAUGAGGUAAAGCGAAUGAUUAGAGGCCUUGGGGUUGCAACAACCUUAACCUAUUCUCAAACUUUAAAUAUGUAAGAAGUCCUUGUUGCUUAAUUGAACGUGGACAUUUGAAUGUAUCGUUACUAGUGGGCCAUUUUUGGUAAGCAGAACUGGCGAUGCGGGAUGAACCGAACGUGAGGUUAAGGUGCCGGAAUGUACGCUCAUCAGACACCACAAAAGGUGUCAAUGCAUCCAGACAGCCGGACGGUGGCCAUGGAAGUCGGAAUCCGCUUAGGAGUGUGUAGAAAGACCCGAGGGUUGUUGUUGCACACAGACAGUCCUCUGAGGACUAGUUGACCAUAAGCAUGGUUGAACGAUGGCUCUAUUUGACCGGGAAUCUUAACCAGAUGAUCGGUCGUAAACCCUUGUGGUUUAUCUACAGACUAGAAAGAGCCGACCGCGAUCUGACCGUCGCGGCCAAGACAUAGUCGAUCAGGGCCUCUCUAGAGAGGCUCUUCAACGAGAACAACUCACCGGCCGAAUGCAUUGGCCCUGAAAAUGGAUGGCGCUUAAGCGUGCUACCUAUACCUCGCCGUUGGGGUUGAAAUGAUGCCCCAACGAGUAGGCAGGCGUGGGGGUUUGUGACGA